GCACUCCUGAGAGUUAGCGGSGGACGGGUGAGUAACAMGUAGGCAACCUGCCCUCAAGACUGGGAUAAMUACCGGAAACGGUAGCUAAUACCGGAUAAUUUAUUACAUAGCAUUAUGURAUAAUGAAAGRMGGAGCAAUCUGUCACUUGGGGAUGGGCCUGCGSCGCAUUAGCUAGUUGGURRGGUAACGGCYCACCAAGGCRACGAUGCGUAGCCGACCUGAGAGGGUGAWCGGCCACACUGGRACUGAGACACGGYCCAGACUCCUACGGGAGGCAGCAGUAGGGAAUCUUCCGCAAUGGGCGAAAGCCUGACGGAGCAACGCCGCGUGAGUGAUGAAGGUUUUCGGAUCGUA
RNAcentral lists this ribosomal RNA (355 nucleotides) under Paenibacillus sp. R-45664. Its description in RNAcentral is "partial 16S ribosomal RNA". It matches the Rfam family "Bacterial small subunit ribosomal RNA", at positions 79 to 427 of the family's 1533-position model. Lineage: Bacteria; Bacillati; Bacillota; Bacilli; Caryophanales; Paenibacillaceae. The record is from RNAcentral.